RNAcentral lists this ribosomal RNA (429 nucleotides) under Chloroflexota bacterium. Its description in RNAcentral is "Chloroflexi bacterium partial 16S ribosomal RNA". It matches the Rfam family "Bacterial small subunit ribosomal RNA", at positions 355 to 776 of the family's 1533-position model. The record is from RNAcentral. Lineage: Bacteria; Bacillati; Chloroflexota.
UGGGGAAUAUUGCACAAUGGGCGCAAGCCUGAUGCAGCCAUGCCGCGUGUAUGAAGAAGGCCUUCGGGUUGUAAAGUACUUUCAGCGGGGAGGAAGGGAGUAAAGUUAAUACCUUUGCUCAUUGACGUUACCCGCAGAAGAAGCACCGGCUAACUCCGUGCCAGCAGCCGCGGUAAUACGGAGGGUGCAAGCGUUAAUCGGAAUUACUGGGCGUAAAGCGCACGCAGGCGGUUUGUUAAGUCAGAUGUGAAAUCCCCGGGCUCAACCUGGGAACUGCAUCUGAUACUGGCAAGCUUGAGUCUCGUAGAGGGGGGUAGAAUUCCAGGUGUAGCGGUGAAAUGCGUAGAGAUCUGGAGGAAUACCGGUGGCGAAGGCGGCCCCCUGGACGAAGACUGACUCUCAGGUGCGAAAGCGGGGGGAGCAAACAGG